UACAGAGGGUGCGAGCGUUAAUCGGAAUUACUGGGCGUAAAGCGUGCGUAGACGGUUAUUUAAGUCGGGUGUGAAAGCCCCGGGCUCAACCUGGGAAUUGCAUUCGAGACUGAAUAGCUAGGGUACGGUAGAGGGAAGCGGAAUUUCCGGUGUAGCGGUGAAAUGCGUAGAUAUCGGAAGGAACAUCAGUGGCGAAAGCGGCUUCCUGGACCAACACUGACGCUGAGGAGCGAAAGCCAGGGGAGCAAACGGG
This 253-nucleotide ribosomal RNA is filed under the name uncultured bacterium. RNAcentral describes it as "partial 16S ribosomal RNA". It matches the Rfam family "Bacterial small subunit ribosomal RNA", at positions 524 to 776 of the family's 1533-position model. The record is from RNAcentral.